RNAcentral lists this transfer RNA (64 nucleotides) under Loxodonta africana (African savanna elephant). It matches the Rfam family "tRNA". From Rfam's summary of the family: Transfer RNA (tRNA) molecules are approximately 80 nucleotides in length. Their secondary structure includes four short double-helical elements and three loops (D, anti-codon, and T loops). Further hydrogen bonds mediate the characteristic L-shaped molecular structure. tRNAs have two regions of fundamental functional importance: the anti-codon, which is responsible for specific mRNA codon recognition, and the 3' end, to which the tRNAs corresponding amino acid is attached (by aminoacyl-tRNA synthetases). tRNAs cope with the degeneracy of the genetic code in two manners: having more than one tRNA (with a specific anti-codon) for a particular amino acid; and 'wobble' base-pairing, i.e. permitting non-standard base-pairing at the 3rd anti-codon position. The record is from Rfam by way of RNAcentral. Lineage: Eukaryota; Metazoa; Chordata; Mammalia; Proboscidea; Elephantidae.
GGUGCUGUGGUUAAGUGCUUGGCUGCUAACCAAAAUGUCGGUGGUUCAAACCCACCAGGCACUC